RNAcentral lists this ribosomal RNA (122 nucleotides) under Phaseolus vulgaris (common bean). The record is from RNAcentral. Lineage: Eukaryota; Viridiplantae; Streptophyta; Magnoliopsida; Fabales; Fabaceae.
GGGUGCGAUCAUACCAGCACUAAUGCACCGGAUCCCAUCAGAACUCCGCAGUGAAGCGUGCUUGGGCGAGAGUUGUACUAGGAUGGGUGCCCUCCUGGGAAGUCCUCGUGUUGCACUUCUUU